AGGAUAAACGCUGGCGGCGUGCCUAACACAUGCAAGUCGAACGCGCUUUCGGGCUUCGGUGCGAGAGCGAGUGGCGGACGGGUGAGUAACACAUGGGUACCUACCUUGGAGUGAGGGAUACCGGCGAGAAAUCGCCGACAAUACCGCAUAGGCUUCUUCACAAGGGAAGCAAAGUGACGCGAGUCACGCUGUGAGAUGGGCCUGUGGCCGAUUAGCUAGUUGGGGGGGUAACGGCUUCCCAAGGCGACGAUCGGUAGCUGGUCUGAGAGGACGAUCAGCCACACUGGGAUUGAGAACGGCCCAGACUCCUACGGGGGCAGCAGUGAGGAAUUUUCCGCAAUGGAGGCAACUCUGACGGAGCAACGCCGCGUGCAGGAGGAAGGUUUUCGGAUCGUAAACUGCUUUCGUCGGGGACGAGCAAGGACGGUACCCGAGGAAGAAGCCCCGGCUAACUACGUGCCAGCAGCCGC
Molecule: ribosomal RNA, 470 nt
Filed under: uncultured bacterium
Lineage: Bacteria
Description: SSU rRNA
Rfam family: Bacterial small subunit ribosomal RNA
Source: RNAcentral